UCCCUGGAAGUCCAGUGGUUAGGACUCCAUGCUUCUACUGCAAGGGACCCAGGUUCAAUCCUUGGUCAGGGAA
RNAcentral lists this transfer RNA (73 nucleotides) under Bos taurus (domestic cattle). It matches the Rfam family "tRNA". Rfam says of the family: Transfer RNA (tRNA) molecules are approximately 80 nucleotides in length. Their secondary structure includes four short double-helical elements and three loops (D, anti-codon, and T loops). RNAcentral also lists the same sequence under 2 other names. Lineage: Eukaryota; Metazoa; Chordata; Mammalia; Artiodactyla; Bovidae. The record is from Rfam by way of RNAcentral.